GAGGACCACUGUACUCUAGUGGGAGUCAGAAUGGGGAAAGGUUUCGUGCCUGCACUGGUUGUCUGGUAAUGGCUUGGUGACCUUGAAAAUUUACCUAAGCUCUGCAAGCUUUGAGGUCUUUGCAUGAGUCACUGUGAGCUAUGGCUCUCCAGAGGUAUGUUUCCUACUUUCCUGUAACUCUGCAGAGGCAUGUGGAAGCGCUCAGCAUAUGUCUCUAGCUCCUUUCUAGGUGGAUGUAUGUAUGCCUGGCAUAAAUGCAGGGCCAAGGCUCCACAAGUCCUCUACAGCUCUGUCCAGAGCUGUCCACUACACAUUGUAUCUUCUGCUAUUGAUCAUGUGCACAUAUAUUUAUUCCGUCUCAAGAGUCCUGCAUCCUUCUCGGGACUCUGUGGAUUCAGGGAUCAGGCCCCUUCUACCCAGUCCUGCAUCCUUCUCGGGAGUCUGUAGAUCCAAGGACAGGUCCCUUCUACCAAGUGCCUCCAGGCCUCUGGGAAGCAAGGCAUACACUCUCCUCUGAGAGCUGAUUUCCCAGUCCUUUCUCCUCUCCUCUCUCACUCACUUGCCACAGGCACCAUCUGUUUCCUGCCUUUAUCUUCCAUGAGUCUUGCGAAUUCUCUCCGUGCCUGCUCUUUUACUCCUGGCUGUCAUGUUGUCCAGCUUUGCUAUUUCUCCAAGGGCGUCUAUCCUUGAAACUCGGAAAAACAACGGAUUCUUUUUUUAUCUCUCUUAUCCACAGGGCCUCACCUUUCCCCUGAGACUGUGAAUACAACUUGGCUUCAUUGGAUGUGAGUGAGAGAAAACAGACAUGCAGGGAAAAUCGCAGGCUAGUAUUUGAGCAGUACCACCCACCCCAUUAUCGCUCUCCUUGGCUUCAUCCUCCCAGUGGUUCUGCUAAGGCCCGGUUCUUAUUCAUCUUAGUUCUUAAUCCUUUGGCAUGGACGCGUCUGUGGAUGUUCUGACCCUCUGUGUGACUAAAGCCCUCUGGUCAGUUCUUCCGGUCGGUUUUGCCUUUUGGAUGAGGUGAUAAACUCAUUAGUAAUUUCCUGCGGUUUGUCUGUGCUCUGAGGCAGUGAAUGCUUCAGACAGUGAGUGACUCGCUCACAGAGGUGCUGCCCUCUACACUCCCCUCUUGUCUUUCAUUUCUUUCAUUUGUCCUCAUUAAUAAAGGGCUACUCUCAAAUCUC
This 1184-nucleotide long non-coding RNA is filed under the name Mus musculus (house mouse). RNAcentral's name for it is "long non-coding RNA chr14:120637034-120638218". Lineage: Eukaryota; Metazoa; Chordata; Mammalia; Rodentia; Muridae. The record is from RNAcentral.